RNAcentral lists this long non-coding RNA (823 nucleotides) under Marmota monax (woodchuck). The record is from RNAcentral. Lineage: Eukaryota; Metazoa; Chordata; Mammalia; Rodentia; Sciuridae.
UUUUUUCUAAGAAAGGAGCAACCAUAUUUGAUAUGAUGGAUGUAUGAUUUUACCAAGGAAGAGAAGCAGAUCAGGCACUGAAGGGCCUAUUAACAAGAUAUUGCCAAAAUAUCUCUAGCUUGCUGAAUUUUAAACUUAGUAUUGUUUGCCAAACAUAUGUUUAUUGCUUAAAUCUAUUUCAUGUAUGUUAUUUAUUUAUAACUUUAAAGAUAAUUUAAUAUGUAAAACCAUCUCUGUUGAAAUGUGGGUAUUCAUUUCCAAGCAUCAUUUAUUGCACUUACAGCUGAUGGAUUGCUGCAAGUCAGAACUAAUACACUUGUAAGGAUUAAUAGAAUAUCGGUCCAAAAAAAAAAGAAAGAAAAAGAAAAAGGUGUCUUUAUGGUUGCCAUGUAACUGCAUCUGCCUGGAAGGCUGAGUUCCCUGAGAAGUCUGCUGCGCUGUGUGUCCUGCCACAGAAGGGGAAGGGGUGGUGGGCAGCCCAGGACAGCAGUAAACGGAUGAUCAGUACCUUCUGAUGGAGUGCAAUGGGCAGCCGUAUGUGGUGGUGCAGGACUUCCGCAGCUGGCAAAACAGAGAUCUUACGCUGAACAGGGUCACACUCUUGUGGAAGUGCCCAUGCUGUAGAUGGGGCCGGGAGGAUGCUCAGGGAACCUGGCUUUGCUGAAACGAAACAGGCACAAGAUUCAAGCAGAUGAUCACUGUAUGCCUUGGGGUUUAUUUUCUCCCAGCAGACAGAGUGUCCUGCGUUCCCUGUUCUUACAAAGUGUUGUUAGGGCAAAGAGGUUUUAGGAAAAAACAUCGUGGGCAGCCCACCAGAUUCCCG